RNAcentral lists this transfer RNA (86 nucleotides) under Planctomycetota bacterium. Its description in RNAcentral is "Planctomycetes bacterium (activated sludge metagenome) tRNA-Leu". It matches the Rfam family "tRNA". From Rfam's summary of the family: Transfer RNA (tRNA) molecules are approximately 80 nucleotides in length. Their secondary structure includes four short double-helical elements and three loops (D, anti-codon, and T loops). The record is from RNAcentral. Lineage: Bacteria; Pseudomonadati; Planctomycetota.
GGCUGGGUGGCGAAAUGGCAGACGCACAGGACUUAAAAUCCUGGGGUGGGUAAACCACCGUGCGGGUUCGAGUCCCGCCCCAGCUA